This 492-nucleotide ribosomal RNA is filed under the name uncultured bacterium. RNAcentral's name for it is "partial 16S ribosomal RNA". It matches the Rfam family "Bacterial small subunit ribosomal RNA", at positions 30 to 507 of the family's 1533-position model. The record is from RNAcentral.
AGUGAACGCUGGCGGUAGGCCUAACACAUGCAAGUCGAACGGCAGCACAGUAAGAGCUUGCUCUGGCGGGGGGCGAGUGGCGGACGGGUGGGGAAGACAACGGAAUCUACAUUGUCGGGGGGGAUUACGUAGGGAAACUUACGCUAAUACCGCAUACGACCUACGGGGGAAAGCAGUGAAUCUUCGCACCUGGCGCGAUACAAGGAGCAGAUGUCGGAUUAGCGCUUUGGGGGGGGAAAGCCCCACCACGGCGACGAUCCGUAGCGGGUCGGAGAGGUGGACCGGCCACACUGGAACUGGGAAACGGUCAAGACUCCUACGGGAGGCGGCAGUGGGGAAUAUUGGACAUUGGGGGCAAUCCUGACCCAGCCCGCCCGCGUGGGUGAAGAAGGUCUCGGGGCUGUAAGGCCCGUUUGUUGGGAAAGAAAAGCAGGAGGGUAAAACCCCGACGUUGUGACGGUACCCAAAGAGUAAGCACCGGCUAACUUCGUG